ACACGCACGCGCACGGCGGCCACGCUCCUCCAAAAGCUGCUCUCGGUCAGACACUCGAUUCUCAAACAACAUGACACAUAAUAAACUUGCAGAAAGAGUGUGGUUGCUUUAUAUCCGCGAAUCGAAGAAGCCGCAGUCUUUGUUUAAUCAUCUAGGCUAUUCCCAAUUUCCUGUAAAAUACAGGAAAGGUCCAACGGCGCUAAACACACCAACAAAAUAAGACGCAAUGGUGUGGUUGAACCUCCCACCUCAAACAUUCCCAGGAUCCCUCAGUGCUGAAUGGGAAUGCAAGGUCAAAGGUCACUGAGUGGCUUCUUCUGACCCACAUUUACUGGUUAAUUGAAAGGUACAAUAGGUAAUUUCGGACUUCUAACAGUCAAGAGAGGAAUGACAGCAACAAACACCUUCAAACCACAACACUGUGUAUCUCUCCCCCUGCUCUGUAAAUGCUCUGGUGUUGAAACACCAUUGGCUGUGGCAAUGAGAACCAAGUUUCAACCAAUGAGCUUGAAUUAUUGUACAAUUGUACAAUGUUUUGGUACAGAGUGUCAGGAUGUCAACUGUAUAUUUUGAAACCCGAAUUUAAGGACUAUAAACACAGGGUCAACAUGUCAGUGAGCCUUUUUCCAUGAUAAGUUUUAACACAAAAAAAUCUUAUCUAUUGUACUUAUUGUACUGAGUAAGAGUAUUGUCCUUCUUGUUCAUUGUA
This is a long non-coding RNA of Conger conger (European conger), 709 nucleotides long. RefSeq lists it as uncharacterized. The record is from RefSeq and is a predicted model, not a curated record. Lineage: Eukaryota; Metazoa; Chordata; Actinopteri; Anguilliformes; Congridae. The transcript has 3 exons.